AACGAACGCUGGCGGCGCGCUUAACACAUGCAAGUCGAACGAGAAGGCGUAGCAAUACGCUUGUAUAGUGGCGAACGGGUGAGGAAUACGUGGGUGACCUACCCUCGAGUGGGGAAUAACCCGCCGAAAGGCGGGCUAAUGCCGCGUACGCUUCCGUCCUCGCGGGGACGGAAGGAAAGUCAUGCCGUGGGCAUGGCGCUCAAGGAUGGGCUCACGUCCUAUCAGCUUGUUGGAGGGUAACGGCCUACCAAGGCUCCGACGGGUAGCUGGUCUGAGAGGACGAUCAGCCACACUGGCACUGCGACACGGGCCAGACUCCUACGGGAGGCAGCAGUGAGGAAUAUUGCGCAAUGGGCGAAAGCCUGACGCAGCGACGCCGCGUGGGGGAUGAAGGUCUUCGGAUUGUAAACCCCUUUCGGG
RNAcentral lists this ribosomal RNA (420 nucleotides) under uncultured bacterium. Its description in RNAcentral is "bacterial SSU rRNA". It matches the Rfam family "Bacterial small subunit ribosomal RNA", at positions 28 to 440 of the family's 1533-position model. The record is from RNAcentral.